Molecule: unclassified non-coding RNA, 1351 nt
Filed under: Gigantopelta aegis
Lineage: Eukaryota; Metazoa; Mollusca; Gastropoda; Neomphalida; Peltospiridae
Description: protein phosphatase 1 regulatory subunit 42-like, transcript variant X6
Source: RNAcentral
ACUUAUGUCAUUCAGAGGAUUUUAUUUGCGGAAGGGAAAGCAAGUUUAGUGGUUGUGCGGUCAUGUAAUCAUUUUUUAUGAUGUGUUGUGAGUGAAUUUGCGUUCGUUUAAUGCCAGUGUAUCUUAAAUUAUUAUGUUCUUGCUGGAAAGCUCCGUCAGUCAUGUGAAACUACCUAGAAGGUGACCGGUUAUUUCAACAUGGUGAAGUUAACUAUAGAUCUGAUAGCCCGUGGCACAUCGGGCUACACAAAGAAAAAACGAGAUGAAACAAUGCCACAGUAUCUGCGUCGUUUGACUCAUUUGUACCUUGAAGACAAAAACAUAGAUGAAGUGGGUGAAGAUCUGGCACUUUGCCGCAAUCUGAUCGUGCUGUAUUUGUAUGACAACAGUCUGGCCAAGAUCCCACUUCUACACCACAACUGUAACCUUACUCAUCUCUAUCUGCAGAACAACGGAAUUAGCAAGAUUGAAAAUCUCUCAUCACUUACAAGACUCACCAAACUGUAUCUGGGAGGUAACAAGAUAACAGUUCUCGAGGGCUUGGAAAAACAAGAACAUCUUCAGGAGCUUCAUUUUGAAAAUCAGCAUUUACCACCUGGAGAGAAAUUGCUGUUUGAUCCUCGUUCUCUGAGAAAACUAGCUAAAAGUUUACAAGUACUAAAUGUGUCUGGUAACAAUCUGGAUAGUUUCACCGAUUUGGAGUGUUUAAAAAACUUGAACCAGCUGAUGGCCACUGACAACAAUCUGAAUGACAUGAAAGAACUUGCUCAUAUUCUUGGUCAGUGGACUUGCAUGUGCCGCUUGGAGCUUAUGGGUAAUCCCAUUUGUCAUAAAGCAAAAUACAGGGACCGUGUCAUCAUUAUGUCCCAAAAACUAGCAGUUUUAGAUGGUAAGGAAAUAACAGAAACAUCCAGACAAUUUCUUCGUAACUGGCAUGCCAGUAAGGAAACCCAGAAGAAGAGACAUGACGAAUUUAUUCGACAGGGAAUGCCAACUGAGAUCUCAGAGCUAUCAGGAUUACCACGUAAACAGUUUGAUGAGCUUUUAGCAAAAAACAGACUGGAUGACAAUGAUUUAAAGACAUUCCAAAGAGCAAACAAGACAAGAAGUGGAGUGUUGAGAACAAAAUUACCUGACAUUCAAACAGUUCGCUUUUUGAGCUCAGGGAUGCCCGCCCACUCUGGGUUGAAAACCAUUUAGCCCUGUCAUAGUGAAAAGUCAUACCCAGGCUCCGUUGUUGAGCAAUUAGUGGGUCUAGUCCCGCAACAGAUACAGUGACCACUACAAUUUGUUCCGUGGUAUAUCCUCUGCACCAGCAAGGCGACCAAUCACCCUGACCAUAGAGGUCGCU